UUUUUGGUCAAAACUAAUUAGAUUCUUCUUAACAUGAUUUAUUUAAAAUCAAAUUAGAUCUAGUAUCGUAGAUGAAGAUAUAAAUAAAUCCUUACCAAUUGUUGAUUGUUUGAAAAUCCUAAGAGUUGAGAAUUCUGAUUUGCAGACUUAUCAAUUGUACUUUUCAGCUGCAAAAUUGUUAGGAACACAAAUUAAAAAACUUAAAUAUUGAUGUAAAACAUAAGAAAAAAGAAAUAUUAGUAGCUUAUCUCUACUAUAUUCUUAGAUACGUACAAAUUGAUAUAUCCAGUAUGCUUAGUGAAUUGCUUCCAUGAUUGAAGGAUCCUGGUUUGGAUGCUUGGAUUUGCUAACUCGUUUUAAAAGCUUAAUGUUAUUAAGGGAAUUUUUUUUUGUUUCUUUGUUCUUUGCCGUCGUCUCGUCUAUAUCGCUGGCGUCGACUACAAAGUGGAGACCAUAGUAAGAGCUCAUACAAG
Non-coding RNA from Camelina sativa (false flax), 473 nucleotides. Lineage: Eukaryota; Viridiplantae; Streptophyta; Magnoliopsida; Brassicales; Brassicaceae. The record is from RefSeq and is a predicted model, not a curated record.